UAGGGAAUCUUCGGCAAUGGGGGCAACCCUGACCGAGCAACGCCGCGUGAGUGAAGAAGGUUUUCGGAUCGUAAAGCUCUGUUGUAAGAGAAGAACGUGUGUGAGAGUGGAAAGUUCACACAGUGACGGUAACUUACCAGAAAGGGACGGCUAACUACGUGCCAGCAGCCGCGGUAAUACGUAGGUCCCGAGCGUUGUCCGGAUUUAUUGGGCGUAAAGCGAGCGCAGGCGGUUUAAUAAGUCUGAAGUUAAAGGCAGUGGCUUAACCAUUGUUCGCUUUGGAAACUGUUAAGCUUGAGUGCAGAAGGGGAGAGUGGAAUUCCAUGUGUAGCGGUGAAAUGCGUAGAUAUAUGGAGGAACCCCGGUGGCGAAAGCGGCUCUCUGGUCUGUAACUGACGCUGAGGCUCGAAAGCGUGGGGAGCAAACAGG
Molecule: ribosomal RNA, 429 nt
Filed under: bacterium
Lineage: Bacteria
Description: partial 16S ribosomal RNA
Rfam family: Bacterial small subunit ribosomal RNA
Source: RNAcentral